CCAUGGGGCCCACUUUGGGCAUCCUCCUUGCUGGUGUGAGGCAUCACACCAGCACCUCUCUUCUCUCAUUUGAUUGGGUUGUGAAGGUGAUUUGAUCGGAGUUCAUUCCACUUUUCUGUGCUAUUUGGUGUGCAUGCGAAGUAGAGGGUCUGCACUUACAGACCUCUGCGAAGGUUGAUUCUAGAUUUUUGGAGAUUUGAUCUCCAGUUCCACUGCUAUUCAGGUAAGGAUUUGAUUCUUAUUUAUAU
Molecule: long non-coding RNA, 248 nt
Filed under: Elaeis guineensis (African oil palm)
Lineage: Eukaryota; Viridiplantae; Streptophyta; Magnoliopsida; Arecales; Arecaceae
Description: long non-coding RNA (EGUI_LNC066576)
Source: RNAcentral